GCUGAAAGCCUGGUGCUUGCACCGGGUGGAUGAGUGGCGAACGGGUGAGUAACACGUGAGUAACCUGCCCCUGACUUCGGGAUAAGCCCGGGAAACUGGGUCUAAUACCGGAUACGACUGCCGGACGCAUGUCUGGUGGUGGAAAGUUUUUUCGGUUGGGGAUGGGCUCGCGGCCUAUCAGUUUGUUGGUGAGGUAAUGGCUCACCAAGACGACGACGGGUAGCCGGCCUGAGAGGGCGACCGGCCACACUGGGACUGAGACACGGCCCAGACUCCUACGGGAGGCAGCAGUGGGGAAUAUUGCACAAUGGGGGAAACCCUGAUGCAGCGACGCAGCGUGCGGGAUGACGGCCUUCGGGUUGUAAACCGCUUUCAGCAGGGAAGAAGCGCAAGUGACGGUACCUGCAGAAGAAGUACCGGCUAACUACGUGCCAGCAGCCGCGGUAAUACGUAGGGUACGAGCGUUGUCCGGAAUUAUUGGGCGUAAAGAGCUCGUAGGUGGUUGGUCACGUCUGCUGUGGAAACGCAACGCUUAACGUUGCGCGUGCAGUGGGUACGGGCUGACUAGAGUGCAGUAGGGGAGUCUGGAAUUCCUGGUGUAGCGGUGAAAUGCGCAGAUAUCAGGAGGAACACCGGUGGCGAAGGCGGGACUCUGGGCUGUAACUGACACUGAGGAGCGAAAGCAUGGGGAGCGAACAGGAUUAGAUACCCUGGUAGUCCAUGCCGUAAACGUUGGGCACUAGGUGUGGGGGGCAUUCCACGUUCUCCGCGCCGUAGCUAACGCAUUAAGUGCCCCGCCUGGGGAGUACGGUCGCAAGGCUAAAACUCAAAGGAAUUGACGGGGGCCCGCACAAGCGGCGGAGCAUGCGGAUUAAUUCGAUGCAACGCGAAGAACCUUACCAAGGCUUGACAUACACCGGGACCGUCCUGGAAACAGGUCCUCUUCUUUGAAGCUGGUGUACAGGUGGUUGCAUGGUUGUCGUCAGCUCGUGUCGUGAGAUGUUUGGGGUUAAGUCCCGCAACGAGCGCAACCCUCGUUCUAUGUUG
This 1047-nucleotide ribosomal RNA is filed under the name uncultured bacterium. RNAcentral describes it as "bacterial SSU rRNA". It matches the Rfam family "Bacterial small subunit ribosomal RNA", at positions 66 to 1117 of the family's 1533-position model. The record is from RNAcentral.